UACGGAGGGUGCGAGCGUUGUUCGGAAUUACUGGGCGUAAAGAGCGUGUAGGCGGUUUGGAAAGUCAGGUGUGAAAGCCCUUGGCUCAACCGAGGAAGUGCAUUUGAAACUGCCAUUCUAGAGUAUGGGAGAGGAGAGUGGAAUUCCCGGUGUAGAGGUGAAAUUCGUAGAUAUCGGGAGGAACACCCGUGGCGAAGGCGACUCUCUGGACCAAUACUGACGCUGAGACGAGAAAGCGUGGGGAGCAAACAGG
This 253-nucleotide ribosomal RNA is filed under the name uncultured bacterium. RNAcentral describes it as "partial 16S ribosomal RNA". It matches the Rfam family "Bacterial small subunit ribosomal RNA", at positions 524 to 776 of the family's 1533-position model. The record is from RNAcentral.